RNAcentral lists this ribosomal RNA (1247 nucleotides) under metagenome. RNAcentral's name for it is "bacterial LSU rRNA". It matches the Rfam family "Bacterial large subunit ribosomal RNA", at positions 1635 to 2874 of the family's 2925-position model. The record is from RNAcentral.
UAUACGACCGUACCGCAAACCGACACUGGUGCGCGAGAUGAGUAUUCUAAGGCGCUUGAGAGAACUCAGGAGAAGGAACUCGGCAAAUUGACACCGUAACUUCGGAAGAAGGUGUGCCCUAUUAGUGUGUAGUGAACAACGAAGCAUGAAUGGGUUGCAAAAAAUCGGUGGCUGCGACUGUUUAUUAAAAACACAGCACUCUGCAAACACGAAAGUGGACGUAUAGGGUGUGACGCCUGCCCGGUGCUGGAAGAUUAAAUGAUGGGGUGCAAGCUCUUGAUUGAAGUCCCAGUAAACGGCGGCCGUAACGAUAACGGUCCUAAGGUAGCGAAAUUCCUUGUCGGGUAAGUUCCGACCUGCACGAAUGGCGUAACGAUGGCCACACUGUCUCCUCCUGAGACUCAGCGAAGUUGAAAUGUUUGUGAUGAUGCAAUCUCCCCGCGGAAAGACGGAAAGACCCCAUGAACCUUUACUGUAGCUUUGUAUUGGACUUUGAACAGAUCUGUGUAGGAUAGGUAGGAGGCUUUGAAGCAGGGUCGCUAGAUCUUGUGGAGCCAACGUUGAAAUACCACCCUGGUGUGUUUGAGGUUCUAACCUAGGUCCAUUAUCUGGAUCGGGGACAGUGCAUGGUAGGCAGUUUGACUGGGGCGGUCUCCUCCCAAAGCGUAACGGAGGAGUUCGAAGGUACGCUAGUUACGGUCGGACAUCGUGACGAUAGUGCAAUGGCAUAAGCGUGCUUAACUGCGAGACUGACAAGUCGAGCAGAUGCGAAAGCAGGACAUAGUGAUCCGGUGGUUCUGUAUGGAAGGGCCAUCGCUCAACGGAUAAAAGGUACUCUGGGGAUAACAGGCUGAUACCGCCCAAGAGUUCAUAUCGACGGCGGUGUUUGGCACCUCGAUGUCGGCUCAUCUCAUCCUGGGGCUGUAGCCGGUCCCAAGGGUAUGGCUGUUCGCCAUUUAAAGAGGUACGUGAGCUGGGUUUAAAACGUCGUGAGACAGUUUGGUCCCUAUCUUCCGUGGGCGCUGCAGAUUUGAGGAAGCCUGCUCCUAGUACGAGAGGACCGGAGUGGACACACCUCUGGUGUAUCGGUUGUCACGCCAGUGGCAUUGCCGAGUAGCUAAGUGUGGAAGAGAUAACCGCUGAAAGCAUCUAAGCGGGAAACUCGUUUCAAGAUGAGAUCUGCCGGGGCCUUGAGCCCCCUAAAGAGUCGUUCAAGACCAGGACGUUGAUAGGUCAGGUGUGGAAAC